This 281-nucleotide ribosomal RNA is filed under the name Cylindrospermopsis raciborskii S14. Its description in RNAcentral is "partial 16S ribosomal RNA". It matches the Rfam family "Bacterial small subunit ribosomal RNA", at positions 857 to 1139 of the family's 1533-position model. Lineage: Bacteria; Bacillati; Cyanobacteriota; Cyanophyceae; Nostocales; Aphanizomenonaceae. The record is from RNAcentral.
GCGUUAAGUAUCCCGCCUGGGGAGUACGCACGCAAGUGUGAAACUCAAAGGAAUUGACGGGGGCCCGCACAAGCGGUGGAGUAUGUGGUUUAAUUCGAUGCAACGCGAAGAACCUUACCAAGACUUGACAUCCUGCGAAUCCCGGUGAAAGCUGGGAGUGCCUUAGGGAGCGCAGAGACAGGUGGUGCAUGGCUGUCGUCAGCUCGUGUCGUGAGAUGUUGGGUUAAGUCCCGCAACGAGCGCAACCCUCGUUUUUAGUUGCCAGCAUUAAGUUGGGCACU